Molecule: ribosomal RNA, 548 nt
Filed under: Rhacodactylus leachianus (New Caledonia giant gecko)
Lineage: Eukaryota; Metazoa; Chordata; Lepidosauria; Squamata; Diplodactylidae
Description: partial 16S ribosomal RNA
Rfam family: Bacterial large subunit ribosomal RNA
Source: RNAcentral
AGGUCCCGCCUGCCCAGUGAUCUUAUUUUUAACGGCCGCGGUAUCCUAACCGUGCAAAGGUAGCGUAAUCAUUUGUCUCCUAAAUAGAGACUUGUAUGAACGGCUAACUGAGGGCCUAACUGUCUCCUAGAGCUAAUCAAUGAAACUGAUCUUCCAGUACAAAAGCUGGAAUAAGCACAUAAGACGAGAAGACCCUGUGGAGCUUAAAACCAAUACUAUAAAAAUAUCUCCUACUAAGGAAUGCACAUUACACCCACUAUAAAUCAUAGUAAAAGUUUUUAGUUGGGGCGACUUUGGAACAAAACAAAACUUCCAUGCCAGGGACUAUAUCCCUAUUAAGGCUAACAUGCCAAAAUAUAAUUUUUUUUGACCCAGCAUGCCUGAUCAACGAACCAAGUUACCCCAGGGAUAACAGCGCCAUCCUCUUCAAGAGUCCCUAUCGACAAGAGGGUUUACGACCUCGAUGUUGGAUCAGGACACCCCGGUGGUGCAACCGCUACCAAAGGUUCGUUUGUUCAACGAUUAACAGUCCUACGUGAUCUGAGUCA